This is a long non-coding RNA of Ficedula albicollis (Collared flycatcher), 395 nucleotides long. RefSeq lists it as uncharacterized. NCBI's taxonomy places the organism in Eukaryota, Metazoa, Chordata, Aves, Passeriformes, Muscicapidae. The record is from RefSeq and is a predicted model, not a curated record. The transcript is spliced from 3 exons.
UAAACCCAGAGGGAAUAAUUCUGAGACCGAGCCAUCAAAUUUGGAAUACAUCCCAUAUCUGGACUCAAACACCAGGUUCUGGCUCUGACUCUGCUCUUCCUUGUUCAGAAGCACAAACCAAGGUAGAGCUUCAAGAUCCAGAGUCAUGGAGCAGUCCCUCCUUGAAUCCAGAUUGCACCAGGAUUAAAAUUCUCCAUUCCACAUUCGCCUUGAAGAGAGCUGGCUGGAAGACUCCAAGGUGGAGCCAGGGAAUGAACUAAAAACUAUGUGGACAACCAGAAGGUUCAAUACUCAACUGAGACUGCUGGUCCUCUUUUCCUGAGCAGCAAAGGGAGCCUUGAAGGUGGCCAGGGUCAUCACAGCAGACUGAAAACUGAUUUGAAGCCUCAGAGGAG